Molecule: ribosomal RNA, 2450 nt
Filed under: Escherichia coli
Lineage: Bacteria; Pseudomonadati; Pseudomonadota; Gammaproteobacteria; Enterobacterales; Enterobacteriaceae
Description: partial 23S ribosomal RNA
Rfam family: Bacterial large subunit ribosomal RNA
Source: RNAcentral
GCGAAAAGAACCCCGGCGAGGGGAGUGAAAAAGAACCUGAAACCGUGUACGUACAAGCAGUGGGAGCACAGAGCAAUCUGUGUGACUGCGUACCUUUUGUAUAAUGGGUCAGCGACUUAUAUUCUGUAGCAAGGUUAACCGAAUAGGGGAGCCGAAGGGAAACCGAGUCUUAACUGGGCGUUAAGUUGCAGGGUAUAGACCCGAAACCCGGUGAUCUAGCCAUGGGCAGGUUGAAGGUUGGGUAACACUAACUGGAGGACCGAACCGACUAAUGUUGAAAAAUUAGCGGAUGACUUGUGGCUGGGGGUGAAAGGCCAAUCAAACCGGGAGAUAGCUGGUUCUCCCCGAAAGCUAUUUAGGUAGCGCCUCGUGAAUUCAUCUCCGGGGGUAGAGCACUGUUUCGGCAAGGGGGUCAUCCCGACUUACCAACCCGAUGCAAACUGCGAAUACCGGAGAAUGUUAUCACGGGAGACACACGGCGGGUGCUAACGUCCGUCGUGAAGAGGGAAACAACCCAGACCGCCAGCUAAGGUCCCAAAGUCAUGGUUAAGUGGGAAACGAUGUGGGAAGGCCCAGACAGCCAGGAUGUUGGCUUAGAAGCAGCCAUCAUUUAAAGAAAGCGUAAUAGCUCACUGGUCGAGUCGGCCUGCGCGGAAGAUGUAACGGGGCUAAACCAUGCACCGAAGCUGCGGCAGCGACACUGUGUGUUGUUGGGUAGGGGAGCGUUCUGUAAGCCUGUGAAGGUGUGCUGUGAGGCAUGCUGGAGGUAUCAGAAGUGCGAAUGCUGACAUAAGUAACGAUAAAGCGGGUGAAAAGCCCGCUCGCCGGAAGACCAAGGGUUCCUGUCCAACGUUAAUCGGGGCAGGGUGAGUCGACCCCUAAGGCGAGGCCGAAAGGCGUAGUCGAUGGGAAACAGGUUAAUAUUCCUGUACUUGGUGUUACUGCGAAGGGGGGACGGAGAAGGCUAUGUUGGCCGGGCGACGGUUGUCCCGGUUUAAGCGUGUAGGCUGGUUUUCCAGGCAAAUCCGGAAAAUCAAGGCUGAGGCGUGAUGACGAGGCACUACGGUGCUGAAGCAACAAAUGCCCUGCUUCCAGGAAAAGCCUCUAAGCAUCAGGUAACAUCAAAUCGUACCCCAAACCGACACAGGUGGUCAGGUAGAGAAUACCAAGGCGCUUGAGAGAACUCGGGUGAAGGAACUAGGCAAAAUGGUGCCGUAACUUCGGGAGAAGGCACGCUGAUAUGUAGGUGAAGUCCCUCGCGGAUGGAGCUGAAAUCAGUCGAAGAUACCAGCUGGCUGCAACUGUUUAUUAAAAACACAGCACUGUGCAAACACGAAAGUGGACGUAUACGGUGUGACGCCUGCCCGGUGCCGGAAGGUUAAUUGAUGGGGUCAGCGCAAGCGAAGCUCUUGAUCGAAGCCCCGGUAAACGGCGGCCGUAACUAUAACGGUCCUAAGGUAGCGAAAUUCCUUGUCGGGUAAGUUCCGACCUGCACGAAUGGCGUAAUGAUGGCCAGGCUGUCUCCACCCGAGACUCAGUGAAAUUGAACUCGCUGUGAAGAUGCAGUGUACCCGCGGCAAGACGGAAAGACCCCGUGAACCUUUACUAUAGCUUGACACUGAACAUUGAGCCUUGAUGUGUAGGAUAGGUGGGAGGCUUUGAAGUGUGGACGCCAGUCUGCAUGGAGCCGACCUUGAAAUACCACCCUUUAAUGUUUGAUGUUCUAACGUGGACCCGUGAUCCGGGUUGCGGACAGUGUCUGGUGGGUAGUUUGACUGGGGCGGUCUCCUCCUAAAGAGUAACGGAGGAGCACGAAGGUUGGCUAAUCCUGGUCGGACAUCAGGAGGUUAGUGCAAUGGCAUAAGCCAGCUUGACUGCGAGCGUGACGGCGCGAGCAGGUGCGAAAGCAGGUCAUAGUGAUCCGGUGGUUCUGAAUGGAAGGGCCAUCGCUCAACGGAUAAAAGGUACUCCGGGGAUAACAGGCUGAUACCGCCCAAGAGUUCAUAUCGACGGCGGUGUUUGGCACCUCGAUGUCGGCUCAUCACAUCCUGGGGCUGAAGUAGGUCCCAAGGGUAUGGCUGUUCGCCAUUUAAAGUGGUACGCGAGCUGGGUUUAGAACGUCGUGAGACAGUUCGGUCCCUAUCUGCCGUGGGCGCUGGAGAACUGAGGGGGGCUGCUCCUAGUACGAGAGGACCGGAGUGGACGCAUCACUGGUGUUCGGGUUGUCAUGCCAAUGGCACUGCCCGGUAGCUAAAUGCGGAAGAGAUAAGUGCUGAAAGCAUCUAAGCACGAAACUUGCCCCGAGAUGAGUUCUCCCUGACCCUUUAAGGGUCCUGAAGGAACGUUGAAGACGACGACGUUGAUAGGCCGGGUGUGUAAGCGCAGCGAUGCGUUGAGCUAACCGGUACUAAUGAACCGUGAGGCUUAACCUUACAACGCCGAAGGUGUUU